Molecule: ribosomal RNA, 585 nt
Filed under: uncultured bacterium
Lineage: Bacteria
Description: partial 16S ribosomal RNA
Rfam family: Bacterial small subunit ribosomal RNA
Source: RNAcentral
UGGGGAAUUUUGGACAAUGGGCGAAAGCCUGAUCCAGCAAUGCCGCGUGUGUGAAGAAGGCCUUCGGGUUGUAAAGCACUUUUGUCCGGAAAGAAAUCCUUGGCUCUAAUACAGUCGGGGGAUGACGGUACCGGAAGAAUAAGCACCGGCUAACUACGUGCCAGCAGCCGCGGUAAUACGUAGGGUGCAAGCGUUAAUCGGAAUUACUGGGCGUAAAGCGUGCGCAGGCGGUUUGCUAAGACCGAUGUGAAAUCCCCGGGCUCAACCUGGGAACUGCAUUGGUGACUGGCAGGCUAGAGUAUGGCAGAGGGGGGUAGAAUUCCACGUGUAGCAGUGAAAUGCGUAGAGAUGUGGAGGAAUACCGAUGGCGAAGGCAGCCCCCUGGGCCAAUACUGACGCUCAUGCACGAAAGCGUGGGGAGCAAACAGGAUUAGAUACCCUGGUAGUCCACGCCCUAAAACGAUGUCAACUAGUUGUUGGGGAUUCAUUUCCUUAGUAACGUAGCUAACGCGUGAAGUUGACCGCCUGGGGAGUACGGUCGCAAGAUUAAAACUUAAAUGAAUUGACGGGGUCAUGCUGUUUCCU